This 440-nucleotide ribosomal RNA is filed under the name uncultured bacterium. RNAcentral's name for it is "bacterial SSU rRNA". It matches the Rfam family "Bacterial small subunit ribosomal RNA", at positions 338 to 770 of the family's 1533-position model. The record is from RNAcentral.
CCUACGGGUGGCUGCAGUAGGGAAUCUUCCACAAUGGACGCAAGUCUGAUGGAGCAACGCCGCGUGAGUGAAGGAGGUUUUCGGAUCGUAAAGCUCUGUUGUUGGUGAAGAAGGAUAGAGGUAGUAACUGGCCUUUAUUUGACGGUAAUCAACCAGAAAGUCACGGCUGACUACGUGCCAGCAGCCGCGGUAAUACGUAGGUGGCAAGCGUUGUCCGGAUUUAUCGGGCGUAAAGCGAGCGCAGGCGGAUUGAUAAGUCUGAUGUGAAAGCCUUCGGCUCAACCGAAGAACUGCAUCAGAAACUGUCAAUCUUGAGUGCAGAAGAGGAGAGUGGAGCUCCAUGUGUAGCGGUGGAAUGCGUAGAUAUAUGGAAGAACGCCAGUGGCGAAGGCGGCUCUCUGGUCUGUAGCUGACGCUGAGGCUCGAAAGCAUGGGUAGCA